GGCUUGGUAGCUCAGUGGCUAGAGCGUGGGAUUGCAGAUCCUAAGGCCACCGGUUCGAUCCCGGUUCAAGCCU
This is a non-coding RNA of Xylaria telfairii, 73 nucleotides long. The record is from the annotation of a GenBank genome assembly. NCBI's taxonomy places the organism in Eukaryota, Fungi, Ascomycota, Sordariomycetes, Xylariales, Xylariaceae.